UCUGAGAAGCAGAGACCAACAGCCAUCCCUGGACUACACAGACUGCUUUACACCCACCCUAUCUUUGCUCGCACUCAGGGAGCUGGAGCAAGUGCACUUGCGCAGGGGGGCUGACUAGCCAAGCAAGCAACCCCAUGGGUGAGCAACAGGACAUUGGUGCACUUCUCCCUAGCAGAAACUGAAGAGGACACUACAGUGUGUGAUUUUCUCAACACAGUCUUUCAGAACCUUCUCUCAGCCGGGCAUACAGCUCAGCAGCGCAGCACCUGCCUGGCAAGUGCAAGGUCCUGAGUUUGAUUCCCAGUACAAAAAAAAAAAAAAGAACCUUAUCUCCUCUUCAGAUUCACCAUCUAUACAAUGGGGUUAAUUACAGCAAGUUAAAUGAAAACAGCAGAGCACAAUGUUUAUUAUUUGGUAGCAUUCAAUAAAUGUUACUGACCGUACUUGGUUUGUUUACUUAUGUAUGUAUGUGGUGCUGGGAAUUCCUCAUGCAUGCUAGGCAAGGGCUGUACCACUGAGCCACACCCACAGUCCCUGUAUUUGCAUUUUGACUGAGAUUUGGUGAUGUCCAAGAAUGCUGAAAAAAAUAAAUAGUAGGGACUGUGGAUUUAGCUAUGUGGUGGAGUACUUGACUAGCACAUGCAAGGCCCUGGGUUCAAUCCCCACCAUGAAAAAAUUAAAAUGAAUAAA
This is a long non-coding RNA of Chinchilla lanigera (long-tailed chinchilla), 690 nucleotides long. RefSeq lists it as uncharacterized. Lineage: Eukaryota; Metazoa; Chordata; Mammalia; Rodentia; Chinchillidae. The transcript is spliced from 2 exons. The record is from RefSeq and is a predicted model, not a curated record.